AAGAUGCUUAAUGAAUAAUAUAUUCACAAAAACAGAGAACCAAUAUUCUUCCCCUCCUUGUCUGAGGACAAGAUUUCCUUUCAAAGGUAACCUUCUUUAAUGUUCCACAUUAUCAAAAAAUGGUACCGUAUGUAAUUUUUUAUAUCAAUAAGUCCACAGUUGUAUUAAGAAAUAUUUUAUUAACAAAACAGUAAAUUCCACUUGCUUAGCAUUUCCAAUAAUGGAUAAGUUGGCCUUGCAACAGAAAAACAAAAUAAAACAAACCCCUUAGAUACCCAAUCACACAAAGCACUAGAAGGAAAGAUCAUGUGGCCUUUCUUUGAUGUCUUAGGGAUUGGCCACCUCACACGUUUUUGUAGUAGAUGUUUUGUAAAAAGGCAACACAUUACAUGGAUAAAAAAGAAGCAUACUCAAUCAGAAAAGCUACAAUCUAGAGAUGUAAUCAAAUUUAUGCCAGGUAAGUUUAGAAAUAUUUUUACUGGCAAUUUAUUAGAUUAUAUUAUUGCAUUAAAUUUGAAAAUUUGUGCUGGGAAAGAAACAUUAAAGUCAAUUCUAAACAGCAUGCAGUGUAUCUAUACUGCUUAAAAAUACCACUUUUCAAUUUACCAAAUAUUCUUUUAGAAUCUUUCAUGAUGAAACUAGCUCAAAUCCAACAGAUCUAAUGGAAAAACAACCAUUUUUUUUUUAAAAAAACUUAUGCUGUGAAUUAGUGGUUUUAUAUUCCCUUUUUAUUUCACUGGCUUUCCCUGAGUAAGACUGAAUGAGAGGGGUAGGGGGAAAAGACUUGUGAGCUCUUUAACCUGGCAAAUUAAAAAGAGGUAAAAACGUGAAACAGAAGUAACAGAUACCAAAUUUUAUACCAUCUACUUUCUGGGUCAUGAAAAGCCUUUAAGACUUCUUACACAAUUACUUGGCAACUGUAGUUUGUGGUGAUUUGUGAUGAAAUGUAUGUAUUCCUAAGGUACUGUAUGUCUGAAAUCCAGGCCACUUGGCAUUUUUUAUCAACUAAAGUAUCACAAAGAUGUUUUGAAUUUUUUUGCCUUUGCUGAUUAAAGCUAAUUGUAAAGGUAUUCUUUUCUAUGAAGUCUAGUACCAUUUUUUUUAGGAGAUGUUCAAGUAAUGUGACCAAUUUCUACUAAAGCAUCACCUUGCAAUCUAACAGUGUACUUCCUUUGUAUUACCUUCUCAUACUAAUAAUUUAUUGCUAGGAACAUCAUUGAAACUAUGCAAAAAACAAGUAUAUAUCUACUCUUUCCUACUUCUUAAUAUAUGUUAAACUAAAACUAUAUUUAAUGAUUUUAACCAGAAAGUUAAGAUUUAGUCAAUAAUCAAUAAAUAAAGGAUGAUUUUUAAGUGGGUAGUAAUA
RNAcentral lists this long non-coding RNA (1366 nucleotides) under Castor canadensis (American beaver). Its description in RNAcentral is "lncRNA (ENSCCNG00000004957.1)". Lineage: Eukaryota; Metazoa; Chordata; Mammalia; Rodentia; Castoridae. The record is from RNAcentral.